RNAcentral lists this ribosomal RNA (531 nucleotides) under Calicnemia chaseni. RNAcentral describes it as "partial 16S ribosomal RNA". It matches the Rfam family "Bacterial large subunit ribosomal RNA", at positions 1830 to 2619 of the family's 2925-position model. The record is from RNAcentral. Lineage: Eukaryota; Metazoa; Arthropoda; Insecta; Odonata; Platycnemididae.
GUCCUCUUGAUUUUUUAUGAGGUUUGACCUGCCCAGUGAAUUAUAUUUUAACGGCCGCGGUAUUUUGACCGUGCAAAGGUAGCAUAAUCAUUAGCUUUUUAAUAGAGGGCUGGAAUGAAGGGUUUAACGAAACAUUAGCUGUCUCAUUUAUAUAUUUUAAAAUUUAAUUUUUAAGUUAAAAAGCUUAAAUUUUAUUGUAGGACGAGAAGACCCUAUAGAGCUUUACAUUCAAAUUUUUGGUGUUUUUUUGUUUGAUAAAUUUAUAUUAAAAUUUUUAUGUUUAAUUGGGGUGAUUAAAUUAUAUGAUAAACUUUUUUAUUUUUAAAACAAAAAUUAUUGAUUGUUUGAUCCAUUAUUAUUGAUUAAUAGAUUAAGUUACCUUAGGGAUAACAGCGUAAUCUUUUUUUGGAGUUCAAAUUUACAAAAAGGCUUGCGACCUCGAUGUUGGAUUAAGAUGAUAAUUUGGUGUAGUAGCUAUAUUAAUAGGUCUGUUCGACCUUUAAAUUCUUACAUGAUCUGAGUUCAGACCGG